This 406-nucleotide ribosomal RNA is filed under the name Bacillus amyloliquefaciens. RNAcentral describes it as "bacterial SSU rRNA". It matches the Rfam family "Bacterial small subunit ribosomal RNA", at positions 48 to 444 of the family's 1533-position model. Lineage: Bacteria; Bacillati; Bacillota; Bacilli; Caryophanales; Bacillaceae. The record is from RNAcentral.
GCUAUACAUGCAAGUCGAGCGGACAGAUGGGAGCUUGCUCCCUGAUGUUAGCGGCGGACGGGUGAGUAACACGUGGGUAACCUGCCUGUAAGACUGGGAUAACUCCGGGAAACCGGGGCUAAUACCGGAUGGUUGUUUGAACCGCAUGGUUCAGACAUAAAAGGUGGCUUCGGCUACCACUUACAGAUGGACCCGCGGCGCAUUAGCUAGUUGGUGAGGUAACGGCUCACCAAGGCGACGAUGCGUAGCCGACCUGAGAGGGUGAUCGGCCACACUGGGACUGAGACACGGCCCAGACUCCUACGGGAGGCAGCAGUAGGGAAUCUUCCGCAAUGGACGAAAGUCUGACGGAGCAACGCCGCGUGAGUGAUGAAGGUUUUCGGAUCGUAAAGCUCUGUUGUUAGGG